RNAcentral lists this long non-coding RNA (4730 nucleotides) under Podarcis lilfordi (Lilford's wall lizard). Lineage: Eukaryota; Metazoa; Chordata; Lepidosauria; Squamata; Lacertidae. The record is from RNAcentral.
CACCUGAAUAACAAGGAGACACUGCCUGGCACGCCAACACAUUGCUCACCAUGUUCAUGAGAAUUAGGUCCUUUCCACCUUGGACCAGACUGGGGUUUCUUAACUUUUAUUCUUCUGUUCCUGUAUAUUAGGUUCCCUUACCAGAGGUCUAUAAUAACAAUGUAAUGCAUCAACACACAUUUAUUUGUACACAAAAGGUAGGUAAAGGUAAAAGGUAAAGGAUCCCUGGACAGUUAAGUCCAGUCAAAGGCAAUUAUGGGGUUGUGGCGCUCAUUUCACUUUCAGCCCGAGGGAGCCGGCGUUUGUCUGCAGACAGCUUUCCGGGUCAUGUGGCCAGCCUGACUAAGCUGCUUCUGGCGCAACGGGACAUCGUGACGGAAACCAGAAUGCAUGAAAAUGCUGCUUACCUUCCCGCCGCAGCAGUACCUAUUUAUCUACUUGCACUGGCGUGCUUUUGAACUUCUAGGUAGGCAGGAGCUGGGACAAAGCUACAGGAGCUCACCCCGUUGUGUGGAUUUGAACCACCAACCUUCUGAUCGGCAAGCCCAAGAGGCUCAGUGGUUUAGACCACAGCAUCACCUGCAUCCCUAUAUCCAGGUAAGCAAUGAUGCUCUGCCUAUGCCACCUCGCUAUUGGAUCAAAUAUGCUGUUCAAACACUUGUUGUGGGAAUCCUUCAUUUCCAUCUUGCCAAGCCUGGCAGCAAGAUUUCAAUAUGCUGCUCCUUUAAUGCUAGUGGAGAAAUAAGAAUUCGCUUUCUGAUAGGAACAAAAACCCUAGGCAUAACAAAGAAAACAAGGGCUUCUCUGAUCAAAGCACUUUAGGAAAUGGGCAGCAAAGUUUUUCAAAGUCUCAAAGUUGCUGCUUUUAAUAGUUGCAACUCUGGUUGUCUCUCCCUUACUUUCCAUUCCAACAAUCAACUCCUUCCCUCCUCCACAUACACAGUGUGUUAAAAAAAAAAAAGUUAACAGUUUUAUAGGGAUGUGCAAAAGUGUUUCAAUCCAUUCUAACAUUGAUUCACACUUCCACUUGGGUAUUGUACCCAAUUGGUUUAUUUUGCAGAAGUCUUCCCUUUGCUUUGUUGUUCACUGAUGUGGAAAUAUAUAUUUUGGGGUUUUUGCAUACAUCAAAAAACACCAUAGACAUGUGUAUCUCAUCCAUCAAAAGAUAUUUACAAUUCAAUUGCGUUCUUGUGUUUUCCUUUUCAGAAUUAAUAAAUUUCAAGAAGGGUAGCCCUGUUAGACUGCUGUAACAAAAACUUCAAAGAGUAUUGCGUGACAAGGCUCCCAAACCAGCCCCUCAUUAGAAUAAAAUUCACACUGACACAGAAUUUUGGUUUAAGGUUAUUGGGCAAAUUUUAGGCCACAACUUUAUUGAUUACAGACAUGUGAGCGGUAUUGGCUUAGGCAUUGGCAAAGGACUAUAUCAGACUCCUGCCCCUUUGCAGGAAGUCAGUAAAGGUAAACCACCCAAAGAGAAAGCCACAUCGGGGGAACCCACUUGUAGCUCUCCUCAGUGUCCCCAGAGGCGUGGCAUGGACCUAGCCCCUCAAGCAGACUUCGGACAGGAUCCAGGCCCUGGAUUCCUUUAACGGAAUACCCUUGGUCAAUGGAGGGGUGGGCGGUGGCUGACUUCCCCUCCCCCACAAAUCAAUGAACCAGUGCCUAACCGCCAAACCUUACAAAGUUGUGACGAUUGCUAAGAGGUAGGCCAAAACCAAGUGGCCAGUGGUAAAGGUAAAGGUAAAGGGACCCCUGACCAUUAGGUCCAGUCGUGACCCACUCUGGGGUUGCGGCGCUCAUCUCGCUUUAUUGGCCGAGGGAGCCGGCGUACAGCUUCCAGGUCAUGUGGCCAGCAGGACUAAGCCGCUUCUGGUGAACCAGAGCAGCACACGGAAACGCCGUUUGCCUUCCCGUCGGAGCGGUACCUAUUUAUCUACUUGCACUUCGACGUGCUUUCAAACUGCUAGGUUGGCAGGAGCAGGGACCGAGCAACAGGAGCUCACCCAGUUGCGGGGAUUCGAACCGCCAACCUUCCGAUCGGCAAGCCCAAGCCUCAGUGGUUUAGACCACAGUGCCACCCAAAUGGAAAAAUGCCUACCUGGCCCCCGUCCUAAGACAGGCAACCAACCAAAGUCCAAAGCAAGGCCAGAGGACAUCUAAAAUAAAGGGCGGGUGGGCAGGUGUUCGUCAGUGUGAAGCAGGUUUUUUGCAUAUAUCAAAACACACAAUAGACAUGCGUAUCUCAUCCAUCAAAAGAUAUUUACAAUUCAAUUGCAUUCUUGUGUGUUCCUUUUCAGAAUUAAUGAAUUUCCAGAAGGGUGGCCCUGUUAGACUGCUGUAACCAAAACAUCAAAGAGUCUUAUGGAAUCUUAAAAAUAAUGCGAGAGAGAGAGAAAGUGUCCAACAGCCCAUUACAAAGCCAUCUAUAGCUGCAAUCCUAACCUUGCCUAUCAGAAAUAAGUCUCAUUCAAUAAGGCACACUCCCUGGUAAGUGGGGUUUCAAUUGCAGCCUAUUUUACAUAACCACAUUUAAGUCCAUUUCACUGCAACAUUUUAUGCCAUAAAGUUGUAUUUUAUACCAAAAAUAGUCAUGUGUGCAUCUGUUGAAACAAAACACUAAAGCUGAUUUAUGUUUUAAAUGUUUCUGGUAAACAUGAUUUUGUAUUUGACAGUUUAAAAUCCUCUUUAUUUUGUUCCAAUGUAUUCCUGCCAUGUGAAAAACAACAAUAAUGAAUGAUGUGUUCCAUUGGUUUUUUUUCAAUUCUAUCGGGGUUUGGUUGGGAGAAGUGCAAGGACACUUUUAAAACAAAACUUUUGAAACAAAGAUUUGGUGGAAAGACGGUAAACAAAUGAGCAGUCAAAUCCAGAUGGUUCUCCCCAUUUUGGCUCAGGUUUUAAACUCAGUCUACAGGUAACAAAAGAGAUCACUGCUUUCCAUAGGAAAAGAAUAAUUCUGAACAAUGCAUUCCAUUAGAUUUUAAUAUUUGAAGUAGGAAGUGGACAGAGGCUGCAAUCCUAACCACACUUAACUGGGAGUAAGCUGCACUCAGUUCAAUGGGAAAUACUUCUGAGUAUACAUGGCUAGCACUGCAGCUUUAGUGUAUAUGGGCAGUUUCUAACUGAGUCAGUGUGGUGUAGUGGUUCAGAGCAGUGGACUUGUAAUCUGGGGAACCAGGUUCGCUUCCCUGCUCCUCCACAUGCAGCUGCUGGGUGACCUUGGGCUAGUCACACUUCUUUGAAGUCUCUCAGCCCCACUCACCUCACAGAGUGUUUGUUGUGGGGGAGGAAGGGAAAGGAGAAUGUGAGCCGCUUUGAGGCUCCUUCGGGUAGUGAUAAAGCGGGAUAUCAAAUCCAAACUCUUCUUCUUCUAACAACCAACAUCUUACACAGUCAACAAACAAAGAACGAAGGAAAACAAUGGGGUAUCUGUGGGGACAGCACCAAGUAUAAACCAGUCAAUAAGGAAACAGCGUACAGUACAAAGCAAUUUCCAUGUCUAUUUACAUAUAAAGUUUGCUUGUUAUUUUUGAUUUUGUAAACUUGUGCUGUAAUAAACUAAGGCAAGGUUUCUGGUUCCUAUCUGCUUUAAUGGAAGCAGCCCUCAUGACAUUGCGGGAAUCAAAGGAGAAGAAAACCAAGAAUGAUAGAGGGUAAAUCAUUCUUGGAAUUUCUUUCCAGGGAAGGGAGGAACGGGCUUCACUCGCAGUCCAUCCCGGUACCAUGGAAUGCGGGGGGGGGGGGCAGGGAGGCGCUGAGUGUAAAAGCACUUUGCCUGGCAAAAACCCUCCUACACCACCAUUCAGAAGCAGAGAUUCUCCUGUUAAUUGGAUUUUUAAUAGGCUUUAAAGUCAGGCAAGCUCCGAGGAAAGGUGUACUCAGAACUGCGGGAUUACCCAGCUGCAUUGAUCUGAGAUUUGGAACUGAGAAAAAGAUUUUAUUCGGCGUAGGAAGUGGAUGGCAGAGAGGGGAGCCUCUGGUUCCCUGUUUACUUUGAGUUUCUUUACUAAUGAUUCAGCAACCAUCUCCAGAUACAAAAUUUUAAAGAUACAAAUGAGGUUGAAUUGCAGUAUGGAAUAAGAUUUAUGAUUAAAAGAACAGUUAGCUGGGUGUGGUUUAAAGAGAUGACGGGAGAGCUCUAAUGCUGGAAUGGAUUAUCUUGGAUAAUUAGAGUGGAUACCAUCUGUACCCCCCUUAAAACAACAGAGAAGAGAUACAACUUAAGUGGACUUUGCCCAAAAUGCAGUUGUAAAGAUGAAAGGAAUUUGGAGCCAUGGACGAGGUAGGCAGAAGCUGGAUCUCUCCUUCUCGGGCUGUGGAAAUUUCUAGAUGUUGACUGAAUAGGGAGAAUGAGUGGACUAUGUUGGAGUAUGUUGUUGUCUGGAAACACCGAGCAAGAUGAGAGCACAAUGGAAGGGAGCUAAUGAGAUAUGUUGAAAAUUCUCCAGGAUUAUAGCCCCACCUCAGCUACACUGAGAGAAAACAGCAAUUGGAGGAAUUUCAAGAAUUGGACAGCAGACAAAGGCCAAGGACUUUAUAACUCUACAUAUUCAGAUUGACACACAGGGAAAAGGAAAAUAAUUAAAGCACCUCAUUUGAAAUCCUAUGGAAAGUUAGAUAAGGUAUUAACACGAAUAGUAAUUGCUAAAAAUGCAGCUGUUUAAGAUAGCAGCUUAAUAUGAUUAAUAUGCCAACUGAAAUGUAAUUAGAAGUUAAUAAAAAAUAUGAACCAC